Molecule: non-coding RNA, 103 nt
Filed under: Thalassospira xiamenensis
Lineage: Bacteria; Pseudomonadati; Pseudomonadota; Alphaproteobacteria; Rhodospirillales; Thalassospiraceae
Description: Glycine sequence
Rfam family: Glycine riboswitch aptamer
About the family: This family represents the bacterial glycine riboswitch. Glycine riboswitches usually consist of two metabolite-binding aptamers domains with similar structures in tandem. The aptamers cooperatively bind glycine to regulate the expression of downstream genes.
Source: RNAcentral
CUCUGGAAAGCAGGCGGCAUCAGAAACCGAUGUGCGCCUCGCCGAAGAUGUAAGCAGACCGGUAUCCAAACCGGCUGUGAUUCUUUCAGGCUCCAAGACAGAG